This 467-nucleotide ribosomal RNA is filed under the name uncultured bacterium. RNAcentral describes it as "partial 16S ribosomal RNA". It matches the Rfam family "Bacterial small subunit ribosomal RNA", at positions 28 to 507 of the family's 1533-position model. The record is from RNAcentral.
GACGAACGCUGGCGGCGUGCUUAACACAUGCAAGUCGAACGGAAAGGCCCUGCUUUUGGGGGGUGCUCGAGUGGCGAACGGGUGAGUAACACGUGAGUAACCUGCCCUUGACUUUGGGAUAACUUCAGGAAACUGGGGCUAAUACCGGAUAGGAGCUCCUGCUGCAUGGUGGGGGUUGGAAAGUUGCGGCGGUUGGGGAUGGACUCGCGGCUUAUCAGCUUGUUGGUGGGGUAGUGGCUUACCAAUGCUUUGACGGGGAGCCGGACUGGGAGGGAGACCGGGCACAUAGGGCCUGGGGUACGGCCAGGAGUGAUACGGGCGGCAGGAGCGGGGAAUAUUGCACACGGCGCGGAGGGCGGGUGGAGCAACGCCGGGUGCGGGAGGACGGUUUUCGGGUUGGAACGGGCUUUCGCGUGUGACGCAGCGUGAGUGCCGGAACUGGGAAAAGAAGCACGGGCAAAUUAGUG